UUUUCUUUUCUUUUCUUUUCUUUUACAAAAAAAAAAUAAGGCAGCUUUUUGCCCCACAGAAAUUAGUCUGAAGAGAUAAUGGAAGAUAUAGGAGGGAGAAGGAUUAAACAGGAGACUUCUCAUCACUUGUUUAUUUUUUUUCAGUGUGGCAUAUUUAAUAGUAGUUGAACUUACAUUAACCAACUCUAUUGAUUCCUUUCUCCCCUUCGUUAACAGUUUACUUGGUAAUUUUUUUGUAUUCCAGUUGUUCCCGUAGUGUGCCUGCCCUGUUCUUAAAUGGCUGGUGAUCCAAGGACACAAGAAAAGUAAAGUGUCCUUUGACCACAUGCAGAAGGAAGAUUGCAAUAUUCCACCUGGUAAAUCAACACAAUUGUGGAUUUUGAUUCUUCCACUGAAUGGCAGUGAUAUCUCUCCGCAGUAAUAGUGCGAGCCAGAGCCAAGCCAGCGGGCAGCAGGCAGGCAUAGAUGAAAAAUGGAGAAGCUAAAAUGCAGAGGAUCAACAUUGUGACCCUUUAUCCAUCCAUCAAGCCAGUCUGCAGAGGCCAAAAUAUAACCAAAGUUUCCUGAAUCCCAGACCAGCACUCUGGGUAACUCUGAGGCAUGCAGGUUGGGGGGUUUUGACAGCUUGGAGGGAGCCACAUUGCCUAAAUCGCAGCUCCUGACAAGUGGAAGUGCCACAUUCAGCAACAACAAAACGACACAGGCCUUCAGAGAGAGGGACUUCAAGUGCUGUCGUUACCUGCUGCAGAGCAGGUUCCAGGUUCCUCUGGAAACACUGAGGACGUUUCUCACGGAGGUGGUGUGGCCUGCUUUGAUUUUUAUGCAGCACCAGCAAAAGGUUGGCUAUAAUCUGGCAGUGAAACAUUGCUCGGGGCUGCCACUCCAGCAAGGGAUGUGA
This 898-nucleotide long non-coding RNA is filed under the name Struthio camelus australis. RNAcentral's name for it is "lncRNA (ENSSCUG00000000407.1)". Lineage: Eukaryota; Metazoa; Chordata; Aves; Struthioniformes; Struthionidae. The record is from RNAcentral.